This 218-nucleotide unclassified non-coding RNA is filed under the name Hevea brasiliensis (rubber tree). The record is from RNAcentral. Lineage: Eukaryota; Viridiplantae; Streptophyta; Magnoliopsida; Malpighiales; Euphorbiaceae.
GUUUCAUUUGCUUAACACUCUGCAGAUAAAACGUUCUUUUAGUAUCUAUACAUAUAAUUUGAAAUGAAAAUGAAUGCAGCAGAAUAUGGAUUUUGUAUUUUCGUUGUGGGAGAGAGUUGUGGAGCAUCGACUACGUCAUGAUACUUCUAUCUCUCUCAAUCAAUUUGGUUUCAUGCCCGGUCGUUCAACUAUGAAAGCGAUCUUUCUCAUUAGAAGCU